AGCAGCCGCGGUAAUUCCAGCUCCAAUAGCGUAUAUUAAAGUUGUUGCAGUUAAAAAGCUCGUAGUUGAAUUUCGGGAUCAAUGUGUUGGUCGUGCCUUGGUACGUACUGGCAUUAUCGAUUCCUACCUUCUGAAGAACCUCGAUGUCAUUAAUUUGGUGUCUUGGGGAAUCAGGACUGUUACUUUGAAAAAAUUAGAGUGUUUAAAGCAGGCUCGCGCUUGAAUACAUUAGCAUGGAAUAAUGAAAUAGGACGUUUGAUUCUAUUUUGUUGGUUUCUAGGAUCGACGUAAUGAUUAAUAGGGAUAGUUGGGGGCAUUAGUAUUCAAUUGUCAGAGGUGAAAUUCUUGGAUUUAUUGAAGACUAACUACUGCGAAAGCAUUUGCCAAGGAUGUUUUCAUUAAUCAAGAACGAAAGUUAGGGGAUCGAAGACGAUCAGAUACCGUCGUAGUCUUAACCAUAAACUAUGCCGACUAGGGAUCGGAUGAUGUUAAUUUUUUAAUGACUC
This 506-nucleotide ribosomal RNA is filed under the name uncultured Glomus. RNAcentral describes it as "SSU rRNA". It matches the Rfam family "Eukaryotic small subunit ribosomal RNA", at positions 569 to 1077 of the family's 1831-position model. Lineage: Eukaryota; Fungi; Glomeromycota; Glomeromycetes; Glomerales; Glomeraceae. The record is from RNAcentral.